This 817-nucleotide long non-coding RNA is filed under the name Triticum aestivum (bread wheat). RNAcentral's name for it is "long non-coding RNA (TAES_LNC008188)". Lineage: Eukaryota; Viridiplantae; Streptophyta; Magnoliopsida; Poales; Poaceae. The record is from RNAcentral.
AUGCAGAGCUCAAGGUCAUCGUCGCCCAACGAAAUUUGCACAAAAUUUGGCAUAUGUGCUCCUGGUGGUUACAUGCAUGGUGCUCUACUCCGUACUACAUAAUUGUGUUGGAGGUUGUCCUGUUGGUCCCAGGAGCUGCAGAGGAGGUAAGCGGCCUGGAUGGAUUAUAACAUGCAUUUGCGCUUUUAUGUUGUAUUUAUAUACAGUUUUUCAAGGGCAGAAACAUAUAUAGUUAUUUUCUUGUAAGGUGCAUCCUUGGUUGUAGCUAACCAUGUCAACAUUUCGAAAUUGAACUUGCAUUGAAGAAUUAAUUAAAGGGGCUUGCCCUUCAUGGUUGGUUGUACAACAGACUUGGAAUGACUGAAUACAACUUCACAUUACUUCUCUUCUCUGUUUCAUCAACUUAUCUUGAAAGUGUUCCUUUGCUAACAAAAGAAAUCUCUUCGAGCGGGCAAUUUUUCAUUGUGCCAUAACAUCCAGCUGGCAUUCACAUGACUUGGUCAAUCAUACGUGCAGGCUUACAUCACUGUUCUCGACUUGCUGAAUUUUGCACAAGAUCAAUUUCACAAUAAAAUGAGGAAGAGAGCUCAAGGAGCAUAUUUGGAUGGUGGAAGAGCUCUAAAGUGCCGACACUCCACUCGGACAGGCCAAGUGAGGUAGUGUGCUCGUGCUCGUAACUACUCAGUACGCAGCACACAAUUCGAAUGCCAUUAAUUUGUGUGAACUUCGAAUUUCUGCCUAGUUUUGUAUUGACCUUCAACAAAAAUUCAAAUGCUUGUCAAAUUCAUACGUUGUACCAUUUUAGUUUUACCGACCC